CCAAAGGCUCUUUUCAGAGCCACUCCACUUGCCAUGAAAAGAACUGU
This is a non-coding RNA of Pteropus alecto (black flying fox), 47 nucleotides long. NCBI's taxonomy places the organism in Eukaryota, Metazoa, Chordata, Mammalia, Chiroptera, Pteropodidae. The record is from Rfam.